Arachis ipaensis is the source of this 257-nucleotide non-coding RNA. The record is from RefSeq and is a predicted model, not a curated record. NCBI's taxonomy places the organism in Eukaryota, Viridiplantae, Streptophyta, Magnoliopsida, Fabales, Fabaceae.
GGCCUGAUCAGAUUGGGACUUGGGAGUAGGCAGAGGAGCAUUACUGAACUCCUUCAGAAUCAGAGGCAUGAAGGUAAUGCAAGGAUUAUUAGAAGCAUACUCUCAAAUAAAAAAAUGCGCCAAAAUCAGUCAGCCAUGCCUCAAUCAGAGCAGGCAGUACCAACAUCUGAUCUACAAAAAGAAAGAUAACCACCUCGCCCUGUACAUGUGCAAUUGAUUUGGAAGUAAUUUAUUUUUAAAAAAUAAUUUGUAUUAUU